Molecule: ribosomal RNA, 1327 nt
Filed under: Neocucurbitaria unguis-hominis
Lineage: Eukaryota; Fungi; Ascomycota; Dothideomycetes; Pleosporales; Cucurbitariaceae
Description: eukaryotic LSU rRNA
Rfam family: Eukaryotic large subunit ribosomal RNA
Source: RNAcentral
ACAGGGAUUGCCCUAGUAACGGCGAGUGAAGCGGCAUCAGCUCAAAUUUGAAAUCUGGCUCUUUCAGGGUCCGAGUUGUAAUUUGCAGAGGGCGCUUUGGCGUUGGCAGCGGUCCAAGUUCCUUGGAACAGGACGUCACAGAGGGUGAGAAUCCCGUACGUGGUCGCUGGCCUUCGCCGUGUAAAGCCCCUUCGACGAGUCGAGUUGUUUGGGAAUGCAGCUCUAAAUGGGAGGUAAAUUUCUUCUAAAGCUAAAUACUGGCCAGAGACCGAUAGCGCACAAGUAGAGUGAUCGAAAGAUGAAAAGCACUUUGGAAAGAGAGUCAAAUAGCACGUGAAAUUGUUGAAAGGGAAGCGCUUGCAGCCAGACUUGCCUGUAGUUGCUCAUCCGGGCUUUUGCCCGGUGCACUCUUCUGCGGGCAGGCCAGCAUCAGUCUGGGCGGUUGGAUAAAGGCCUCUGUCAUGUACCUCCUUUCGGGGAGGCCUUAUAGGGGAGGCGUAAUGCAACCAGCCUGGACUGAGGUCCGCGCAUCUGCUAGGAUGCUGGCGUAAUGGCUGUAAGCGGCCCGUCUUGAAACACGGACCAAGGAGUCUAACAUCUAUGCGAGUGUUUGGGUGUCAAGCCCGAGCGCGUAAUGAAAGUGAACGGAGGUGGGAUCCCUUUAGGGUGCACCAUCGACCGAUCCUGAUGUCUUCGGAUGGAUUUGAGUAAGAGCAUGGCUGUUGGGACCCGAAAGAUGGUGAACUAUGCUUGAAUAGGGUGAAGCCAGAGGAAACUCUGGUGGAGGCUCGCAGCGGUUCUGACGUGCAAAUCGAUCGUCAAAUUUGGGCAUAGGGGCGAAAGACUAAUCGAACUAUCUAGUAGCUGGUUCCUGCCGAAGUUUCCCUCAGGAUAGCAGUAACGUAUUCAGUUUUAUGAGGUAAAGCGAAUGAUUAGAGGCCUGGGGGUUGAAACAACCUUCACCUAUUCUCAAACUUUAAAUAUGUAAGAAGUCCUUGUUACUUAAUUGAACGUGGACACUUGAAUGUACCGUUACUAGUGGGCCAUUUUUGGUAAGCAGAACUGGCGAUGCGGGAUGAACCGAACGCGGGGUUAAGGUGCCAGAAUAUACGCUCAUCAGACACCACAAAAGGUGUUAGUUCAUCUAGACAGCAGGACGGUGGCCAUGGAAGUCGGAAUCCGCUAAGGAGUGUGUAACAACUCACCUGCCGAAUGAACUAGCCCUGAAAAUGGAUGGCGCUCAAGCGUAUUACCCAUACCCCGCCGCCGGGGCAAGAUUUAAGCCCCGGCGAGUAGGCAGGCGUGGAGGCUCGUGACGAAGCCUUGG